GACGAACGCUGGCGGCGUGCCUAAUACAUGCAAGUUGAGCGCUGAAGGUUGGUACUUGUACCAACUGGAUGAGCAGCGAACGGGUGAGUAACGCGUGGGGAAUCUGCCUUUGAGCGGGGGACAACAUUUGGAAACGAAUGCUAAUACCGCAUAAAAACUUUAAACACAAGUUUUAAGUUUGAAAGAUGCAAUUGCAUCACUCAAAGAUGAUCCCGCGUUGUAUUAGCUAGUUGGUGAGGUAAAGGCUCACCAAGGCGAUGAUACAUAGCCGACCUGAGAGGGUGAUCGGCCACAUUGGGACUGAGACACGGCCCAAACUCCUACGGGAGGCAGCAGUAGGGAAGCUUCGGCAAUGGACGAAAGUCUGACCGAGCAACGCCGCGUGAGUGAAGAAGGUUUUCGGAUCGUAAAACUCUGUUGGUAGAGAAGAACGUUGGUGAGAGUGGAAAGCUCAUCAAGUGACGGUAACUACACAGAAAGGGACGGCUAACUACGUG
This 497-nucleotide ribosomal RNA is filed under the name uncultured bacterium. RNAcentral's name for it is "partial 16S ribosomal RNA". It matches the Rfam family "Bacterial small subunit ribosomal RNA", at positions 28 to 507 of the family's 1533-position model. The record is from RNAcentral.